Long non-coding RNA from Homo sapiens (human), 899 nucleotides. RefSeq lists it as uncharacterized. The transcript is spliced from 2 exons. The record is from RefSeq and is a predicted model, not a curated record. NCBI's taxonomy places the organism in Eukaryota, Metazoa, Chordata, Mammalia, Primates, Hominidae.
AUCAGCAGAUUUCAGCACAUAAUCAUUUAAGAUAAAGUUGCCCGCUCAACUGUGUUAAAAAUAAGUAGCACUGCCUGCAGUUGCUUGUGGGGAACAAAAGCAACGUCUCCUUUCACCCGCAGAAAGCCCGUGAUAGGGGGCGGGGCUGAGUGUCAGUCUGCACCUCUGCUGAGUUCUCAAGGUCGGCGUGAAUGAUUUGCCAGGACGUGGCGCUGCGGUGGCGAUCGGGGCCACUCGGGAAAGGUACGAAUCAAAUAGGAAUCAAAUCCGGUAGCUGUCAGUUCAGUACAUUUUCAACUUUUAUUCUUAAAAACCUGGGUGGAGAAAUAAUUGUAGGAUUUAAAGAUUGACGGACUGAAGCCUUAAUCACCAGGCAGUGACUAACGCCAGAAAGAGCUGCGGCAAUUUUUAGACUGGGUUCAGAAAGGCACCGAGUCCUAGGAACAAAAGGCGGGCGCAGGGCCCUCCGGGAAGACACAGGGGCUGAAUCGCAACAGGACGCAGGCGGCUCACCGUUCUCUCCACACGGACUCUACUUCCUAAAAGGGAAUCGCACCAGCAUAACCUGCAGAGAAGGGGCUUCAGCUGCCGUCUGCGGACCCCCUACACCCCCACUCAACGCCACCUCCAGCCCCCAGGUGCGGUUCCCUCUACUGAGAUCCCCACCCCGACUUGUUCUCUGGACAAACUUCCUCUCGGCUUUAGCUGUAGAAUCGCCAUGGCCAAUAUCAUAGCUGCAACCACAUGUGACUCCAGAGUGCCAGGCGACGCGUGCCAUCAGCAUACACGCCUGGUUUUGGAAACUUACUACAGAAAAAAAAGCCUGCAAAAUAUCUUAAUACUUUUUAAUAUUAAUUACGUGUUGAAAUUAUAUUUUGGAAAUACAUUAUUUAAAAAGA